CAUCAACUUACUUGAGCAUCACCGGACAGUGUGGAAGAUCGCCAAAGUGAGAACAUCAACAAGAGCCACAUGUUAGCUGACAGCCACGUCGGCUAACCCCUCGAGAACCACCAGAGGCAUCAACUUUUCACCAUCAUCAUAGUCACCAUCGUAUCAUCACGCAACACCAUCUUCAGGAGCGACGGCUAACCCCCGAGAACUGCCAGGCAUCAUCAUUCACCGCUGUGUGUCCAUCAUUGUACUCACCGGAUUCACCCCCUUGAGCACAUCAUUAGGAGCAACGGUGAGGAAUAACAUCUGUUUAGCCGUUUAGUGCCCUUGUCCCAUCUCCUGCACUAUAUCAAUGGUUAGCCACAGAAAUGUUAGCAAAUGCCGACAAGAAUAACGGUUGUCCCGAACGUUCCCAAUGCACUGACCAGGCUAACGUUGUAAGCGUCACUGGUGAAAAAGAAUAUGUUUACGAUCUUCACGAUCUUUACAGAUACUGAUUACUGAUACUGAUAACUGAUAUUACUGAUAACUGAUAUUACUGAUACUGACUACUGAUACUGAUAACCAUUAGUAGCCAUUACUAAUUAUUGAUAUUUACAACCAUCAGUAGCCAUUACUGAUACUGAUGCUGAUUACCAUCAGUAGCCUUACACUAGUUACACUAGCCUUACAGUAGUUACUAUUAUUUACAUAACACUAGUUAUUAUUACUGAUGGGUUCUACACGAAGAGAAGUUUAUUACUAUUUCUUUAAUAGUGAUUUAACUAAGAUAAGAGGAUAAUUUCAUUGUUGUUAUGAAUGUAAUGUUUCAUUGCACUAUGCAAUUUAGUGAAGCCUUUCACAGUAUUUAAAUUAAAGUAAAUAGAGGGUAAUUUUUAGUGCAGUUCUUCUUACAUGAAUAGGCCUAUUAGUGUAAGAGGAUAUUAAGCACGUCUCUGACAGUGAUCCCUUCUAAGCUUUAGAUUCUAAUGUGUAUUUUAUGUUUUAUGUUGUAUGUAUUUAUUGUUGAGACAUUUUGAAUGUAGUUUUAUUGGACCCUUUGCUACCUGCGUUUUGGUAGAAAGACGUAGCACAUGAACGUCUUGUUUUCAUGCACUUGAAUUUAAUGAUUAGAGAAGAUUUAAGAAGAUAUGUGAUUUGUCAUCCCAGUAUGACAAUUAGAUAAUAUGAUGCAUCUUAGAUUAAUUGUACAUUGUACUAAUUGAAAUGUAUGUAUGGAUGAAUGUGACCUAUCAGGUCAGGUUUUUUGGAAGGAUAGAAACCAAAGAAGACGACUGGGCCAGGACUUCACCUGGUCAAGGACACUGAUGGCGAGCCUUUCCCAGAGCUUUUCCCAGAGCCUUUCCCAGAGCGACCACAGAUACCCUUAAGUACCCUACCAAGGAACUUUCCCCCCCCUUUUCCACUUUUUACCAUUUUUAUUUUGUUUAAGGCCACGUGGACCAUUGUUUAUUUGAAGUGUGCACACUAUUUUAUUUUAUUUGGGUUUUUAUACAUUCAAACAUUUGUAAACAAUAUACGAGUUUUUCACUCAAAAAGGAUUUAUCUUGUCUGACUCAUUAUUGUUGCAUAACACUCGCUCCUCUCUCUUACUUA
This is a long non-coding RNA of Engraulis encrasicolus (European anchovy), 1587 nucleotides long. RefSeq lists it as uncharacterized. NCBI's taxonomy places the organism in Eukaryota, Metazoa, Chordata, Actinopteri, Clupeiformes, Engraulidae. The record is from RefSeq and is a predicted model, not a curated record. The transcript is spliced from 3 exons.